Long non-coding RNA from Triticum aestivum (bread wheat), 2882 nucleotides. RefSeq lists it as uncharacterized. Lineage: Eukaryota; Viridiplantae; Streptophyta; Magnoliopsida; Poales; Poaceae. The record is from RefSeq and is a predicted model, not a curated record. The transcript has 6 exons.
CUGGCCCGCCCAGGCCCGAGUGCCGCCGUCACCACCAGCGCCCGACCCCGAGCUCCUCCUCCCGUGCGCCUCCUCCCUGGCCUCCCUCGCGCGUCGUCCGGCGACCGGCGCCGCCGCCGCCGACCACCCAGGUCACGCCGCCGCUUCCAUGCCUUUUCUCUCUCUAAUCUUCUUGUCUCUCCUCUCCAGGAGCUCAGCGCCAGCGCCAUGGAUGUCCAGUCCUCGAGCUCUCCUCGGAGGUUCGAACGCCGCCAUGGGACCUCCACCAGCCAGAUCCGGCGCCUACCUCCCGGAUCCGCGCUCCCUCCACCUCCUCUACCCGAUUCGGCGCCGCCGAACCCGCCAAGACCUCCACCAUGGAGUUCCUAUAGCUCGUCCCCUGCCUCCUCGUCCUGUGCUAGAGGGAGACGCCCCUCCAGCGCAUCCAGGACAAGGCCCACCACCAGCCGGUCGUUGUUGCACUCGCCGGCGACCUCACCCUCCCCUCUGCACUGCCCUCCACCUCAACUAAUGCUUCUCAUCAUCAGGGAUAGAUUUAGCUGGUCAUAGCUUGUGGAUGUUCUCUGUUAAUUUUUGCACACAAGGUGUUUGUGUGUUUGUCCAAGCCAAUGUUCAUGAGCUUUAUCUUUUCUAUAAAUGACAUGGCUGAGAAAGUCCCUUCAAUGAAAGGAGGAGGAGUAUAGUCUUGGCCAUGGCUGGGAAGGAAGGAUAACAUGCCUUCAUGCUGGACAGAGGAGGAGAAGAAGGGGGGCACGUCGAAGGUGCCGGUGGAGCGCGCCGUCGAGAUCGUUGAUGACAGCGACACGGGCGAGGCCGGGGAGGAGGUCAUGGUUGAUGCUUUACUGCCUGAAUAUGUUGACCGGGAACAAGAGGGUAAGGUGGAUGUGAGGGCGGAGGCGCAUGCCAUGGUGCAGGAUGUUGUGGAAGCCUGAUUAUUUGAGGAAGUGACAGCCACUGGGAGCAUGGAUCGACAGACUAGACAGCAGACCAAGUCCAUUGAUCGGCUGAUUCAACAACGAAGGAAGAGGCAGAAGGUUAUAAAAACGAGCUUGGGGAUUUACUGACCUGAAUCUUAAACAGGGCCGCCCUGCUGAUGGACUCAAGCUCCAGAUAUGCAAAGUCAUAGUCCUGCAUGUAUGGACAUCUACUGAUACAUACAAGCCGAUCGACGGGCACACACAUUAUCCAUCACCGAGCAAAUGUUUGGGAGUUGGAAAUUAUUUGGAUACACAUGAUCUUAGCAAAGAAAGAUUCAAACAUACUACAACCAAAGGACCUCCUUCACUCUCUGUGCAACUACAGAAAUUAUCCUUAUGAGCAGCACCCUAGGUUUAGUUGUGGGUUCUAACAUAUUAGAGAUGUGGUUAGAAUACCUACUGCUCUGAACAAUUAAGUGGUUUGUAUAAACCACCGAUCCCCUCGUGCAGUGUACAAUGUGAUAUGGAUCAUCAUAGGAUCAAACUUAAUACAGGAAGUACACACUUAAUUGUUUCUGAACUAUACUACUUUUUAUGUUCAUUCUCCUGUCCUUUUAAAUCUCUAAUUUAGUUGCAAGUAUUUUAUUUGUUAUCGUUUGGCUUCUUAAGAACAAAUCUAGCAAGUUUGGCUUCUUAAGAACAAAUCUAGCAAGCAACGACUCGACUGAUGAAAGAGAUGUUGACCAUCUUUGCUGCAGUGAGGCUGUGAAUCGACAAACAGCCCAGAAAAUAUGGCAUGCUACAUACCCUGUGACAGUACAUUAUCAGAAAUACUUAUAUUUUUGAUAAACGCAUCUCUCAUCCAUCAUGACAUAGAUGUGAUGCGUUGCAAGUGUUUUUUUUCGUUCUCUCGCGAUGCGUCGAGUACAUGAUGGAUGGUCUAAUCGUUCAGUGUGUCAUGUGUACUCAGUCACUUGUGUCAUCUUCAGAUUUUAGAAGUCAAAAUUCUAGCUUUAGCUCUAUAUUUAAGAAUUUUUCUACGGCAAAUGCAAGAAAAAUAAAGCGUCCUUCUGCUCUCAUUCUGAGGAAGUUCUGAAAAAUUGAGGCAUUUGUAUGAAUUUCUAUUCUUCAUUAUAAAUUAUCCUUUCAAGUUUAGAAAAUAAAACAUGAUAUACUCUGUAUGUCUCUGUUCUACACUACCACUACCAUUUUAUUGCUGCAAAACGCCAAUGAAAAAGUCAUUACUAUUUUCCACAUUUUUAUACAAUCAAGCUGAAAGAGCAAUAAAAUGAUUUGUUUUUGACAUCGCCUCAGAUCUUACCGAAAGGCAAUGUGCUUAUAAUGUACAUCUAGAUAACAAUAAUGUGUUUGGGAAUGAUUCAUUUGUCGACGGCCAGCAUGUGGGGUGUGAGGGACGAUACUUAUAUCACUUAGUGGCCAAGGGAAUGACAUCACAAAAGUUUAUCUAAAAUCCUAGGAGAAGAUGGACACAUGUUCCUAUAUUGCUUCUCUACAAUUGCUUUCACCAUUUGAUCAUCCAUGUAAUUUAUAGCAUCCAUGCAUAGCUUAUCCUUAUGCUGUUUGUAUUCACUUAUUCCUUUUGUUGACAUGGCUAGGAGGCUACUAUGAAUGUCACAUAGAUUGUAAUUUAACCUCCUUACAAAUAAUUAACGUUCAAACAUUCCAGUGGAGGAAUCUCAAGACUUAGGAAUGGUGCCCCGACAAUUGUGAGCGGCACAAAGGAAGGGCCGCCAUCACCAAGGAAGUACGUUCACAAUUGUGGACUCCAAAGAGGAACAAGCUCUAUAUUUAGUGCAUUGAGUUGCUAUUUUAAAUUCUGAGAGGUGUUCAAUUUUGUCGAUUUCUAAGACAUUGACUCGGAAGAAUUAUUAUUUUGCUUGAUGUAAACUCGGAUUAAUUUGUCAUGUCAUUUGAACUGAACAACCUUUUUGUGACAUCACUUCA